UGAACGCUGGCGGCAUGCCUUACACAUGCAAGUCGAACGGCAGCACGGGUGCUUGCACCUGGUGGCGAGUGGCGAACGGGUGAGUAAUACAUCGGAACAUGUCCUGUAGUGGGGGAUAGCCCGGCGAAAGCCGGAUUAAUACCGCAUACGAUCUACGGAUGAAAGCGGGGGACCUUCGGGCCUCGCGCUAUAGGGUUGGCCGAUGGCUGAUUAGCUAGUUGGUGGGGUAAAGGCCUACCAAGGCGACGAUCAGUAGCUGGUCUGAGAGGACGACCAGCCACACUGGGACUGAGACACGGCCCAGACUCCUACGGGAGGCAGCAGUGGGGAAUUUUGGACAAUGGGCGAAAGCCUGAUCCAGCAAUGCCGCGUGUGUGAAGAAGGCCUUCGGGUUGUAAAGCACUUUUGUCCGGAAAGAAAUCCUUGGCUCUAAUACAGUCGGGGGAUGACGGUACCGGAAGAAUAAGCACCGGCUAACUACGUGCCAGCAGCCGCGGUAAUACGUAGGGUGCGAGCGUUAAUCGGAAUUACUGGGCGUAAAGCGUGCGCAGGCGGUUUGCUAAGACCGAUGUGAAAUCCCCGGGGCUCAACCUGGGAACUGCAUUGGUGACUGGCAGGCUAGAGUAUGGCAGAGGGGGGUAGAAUUCCACGUGUAGCAGUGAAAUGCGUAGAGAUGUGGAGGAAUACCGAUGGCGAAGGCAGCCCCCUGGGCCAAUACUGACGCUCAUGCACGAAAGCGUGGGGAGCAAACAGGAUUAGAUACCCCUGGUAGUCCACGCCCUAAACGAUGUCAACUAGUUGUUGGGGAUUCAUUUCCUUAGUAACGUAGCUAACGCGUGAAGUUGACCGCCUGGGGAGUACGGUCGCAAGAUUAAAACUCAAAGGAAUUGACGGGGACCCGCACAAGCGGUGGAUGAUGUGGAUUAAUUCGAUGCAACGCGAAAAACCUUACCUACCCUUGACAUGGUCGGAAUCCCGCUGAGAGGUGGGAGUGCUCGAAAGAGAACCGGCGCACAGGUGCUGCAUGGCUGUCGUCAGCUCGUGUCGUGAGAUGUUGGGUUAAGUCCCGCAACGAGCGCAACCCUUGUCCUUAGUUGCUACGCAAGAGCACUCUAAGGAGACUGCCGGUGACAAACCGGAGGAAGGUGGGGAUGACGUCAAGUCCUCAUGGCCCUUAUGGGUAGGGCUUCACACGUCAUACAAUGGUCGGAACAGAGGGUUGCCAACCCGCGAGGGGGAGCUAAUCCCAGAAAACCGAUCGUAGUCCGGAUUGCACUCUGCAACUCGAGUGCAUGAAGCUGGAAUCGCUAGUAAUCGCGGAUCAGCAUGCCGCGGUGAAUACGUUCCCGGGUCUUGUACACACCGCC
Molecule: ribosomal RNA, 1367 nt
Filed under: uncultured beta proteobacterium
Lineage: Bacteria; Pseudomonadati; Pseudomonadota; Betaproteobacteria
Description: 16S ribosomal RNA
Rfam family: Bacterial small subunit ribosomal RNA
Source: RNAcentral